GGGACAGAGAGUAUGGGUGGGCAACGGCCAAAUCCAAACACCAAGAGGGCUGAGACUGAAGCCCUCUACAAAGGACCUGUGCAGCCCACGGAACAACUCCGCAGUUCUCAGCUUGGAGAAAGGAAGGGGAGAAGGGGUCUUCUGGCCCACCAAGUCGAGGGACAUUGAGGAAGUAAUGAAUCUGUGAUGCGUCCAGAAGAAAAUUCACCCUCUGGGAAAAUGAGCUUCCGUAUUCAUGCUUGGUGUAUCUCCAGCAGUAUCUGCUCUACCUCCAAACAACACUGCAAUUAUUUUUUUUCACCCCGUGGGUGAAAAACCGCUGCCCUAUCUCCCUCAUUUAUUGACUCACACUCCUCCCACAAAACUACAGUGUUGAGGGAUCAGUAACAGAAAUGUUCAAGAAGGCCACACUUGUCUUUAUCACUAAUAUGUGACAUGUAAGAUGGCUUGAAGGAAGUACUGAAAUUAACACCCAGAUGUAAAUGAAUACCCGAAGAUGCCUAGCUGGACAUUGCUAAUAUCAACAUUGCAACAGAUCAAUUUGGACAUAAAGCAAACUAUUCAAUAGGGAAGCUAACUAAUAUUCUCUAAUUAGUUAUAAUGAGCAUUUUAAUAGUCUAUGCUAUAUAAAAACAUGUUUGAAUUGAUAUUUAAAAUACACAGCUUCCUAUUCUUUGAAUUAAAUAUUUAAUGUUAUUUUUCCUUAUAGACAAAAAGUUAC
Pan paniscus (pygmy chimpanzee) is the source of this 721-nucleotide long non-coding RNA. The record is from Ensembl. NCBI's taxonomy places the organism in Eukaryota, Metazoa, Chordata, Mammalia, Primates, Hominidae.